GGUGCAGUAGCUCAGUGGUAGAGCGCUUCCCUCAUGAGGAAGUGGUCGGUGGAUCGUUCCCACCCUGCACCA
RNAcentral lists this transfer RNA (72 nucleotides) under Variovorax paradoxus. Its description in RNAcentral is "tRNA-Met". It matches the Rfam family "tRNA". From Rfam's summary of the family: Transfer RNA (tRNA) molecules are approximately 80 nucleotides in length. The record is from RNAcentral. Lineage: Bacteria; Pseudomonadati; Pseudomonadota; Betaproteobacteria; Burkholderiales; Comamonadaceae.